AGCGGCCGCCCGGGAGGCAGCGGCGGUGGCGGCGCGGCGGCGACACCAGCAGCUAGCUUUCAUAAAGAGUAAUAAGACUUUGCUCACUCCAGUGCCCUGGCCCAUGACCUGGAUGAGAGAAAAUUCCUGGCUCCUUCAGAAGCUUGGUCAAGGCUGAAUGGUCCUGGAUAAACAGACGCCUGGAGCUGAGAAUGGACUCUGGCCAAGUGUGGCCUGGGGGACUGAGCUGUUGGCCCCCGCACCCACCCCUGGAGCUGGAGCAUCUGGAAAGAACCACUUGCCCUUUGUCUGUUGUCAUACUGGCCAUCGUCUCAGAGGAUGACUUUCAUCAGAGCUCCAACUCCACCUACAGAACCGCAAGCAGCUCUCUCCGAGCUGACCAAGAAGCGCUGCUUGAGAAGCUGCUGGACCGCCCACCGCCCGGCCUGCAGAGGCCUGAGGACCGCUUCAACGGUACCUACCUCAUCUUCUUCAGCUUGGGCAUCGGCAGCCUGCUGCCAUGGAACUUCUUUGUCACAGCCCAGGAGUAUUGGACAUUCAAAUUCAGCAACUGCUCUAGCCCAGCCACAGGGGAGGAACCUAAGGGCUCAGACAUCCUGAACUACUUUGAGAACUACCUGGCUGUCGCCUCCACUGUGCCCUCCGUGCUGUGCCUCGUGGUGAACUUCCUGCUUGUCAACAGAUUUAGAAGCACAAACUGGAAGAAACCUGAAAGAGUUCCUCUUCGUAUCCGUGUGCUGGCCUCGUUGACUGUCAUGCUGGCCAUCUUUGUGGUGAUGACCGUGCUGGUGAAGGUGGACACCUCCUCCUGGACCCAGAGCUUCUUCGCCAUCACCAUUGUCUCCAUGGCGAUCCUCAGUGGCACCUCCACCAUCUUCAAUAGCAGCGUCUUCGGCAUGACUGGUUCCUUCCCCAUGAGGAAUUCCCAGGCGCUGAUAUCAGGAGGAGCCAUGGGGGGCACCCUCAGUGCUGUGGCCUUGCUGGUGGACCUGGCGGCGGCCAGUGACGUGACGGACAGCGCCCUGGCCUUCUUCCUGACGGCAGACGUCUUCCUGGCAGCCUGCGUCGGGCUGUACCUGCUGCUGCCGCGGCUGGACUAUGCCGGGUACUACAUGAGGCCUGUCUGGCCAGCCAUGUUUUCUGGUGAAGAGCAGCCACCCCAGGACUCCCCCAACCCCGCUUUGGGGGCCCCUGGAUCCAGCAACUCCCAGACACCACCCCUCCGCCCCAUCCUGAAGAGGACUGCCGGCCUGGGCUUCUGCGUCAUCUACCUCUUCUUCAUCACCAGCCUCAUCUUCCCCGCCAUCUCCAGCAACAUCAGGUCCCUCAGCAAGAGCUCAGGCUCGCCCUGGAGCACCAAGUUCUUCGUCCCCCUCACCACCUUCCUCCUAUACAACUUUGCCGACCUGUGCGGCCGGCAGAUCACAGCCUGGAUCCAGGUGCCAGGGCCCAGAAGCAAGGUGCUCCCCGGGCUUGUGCUCCUCCGGACCUGCUUCAUCCCCCUCUUUAUGUUCUGCAACUACCAGCCCCGCAUCCACCUGCAGAUGGUGGUCUUCCAGUCCGACAUGUACCCGGUGCUCUUCAUCUCCCUGCUGGGGCUCAGCAACGGCUACCUCAGCACACUGGCUCUCAUCUAUGGGCCCAAGAUCGUGCCCAGGGAGCUGGCUGAGGCCACUGGGGUGGUGAUGUCCUUUUACAUGUGCUUGGGCCUGGUGCUCGGCUCAGCCUGCUCUGCCCUGCUCGUGCACCUCAUCUAGGAGGGGCGAUGGCUAGACAUCUGUGCCACGGGAUGCCUGGGAGCCUCAGCAAGAUAGGCAGGAAGGGCCAGGAGGGCCCAGGCGGCGAGCAGGAAGGGCUGGAGUUGGGCUCUGCAGAGCACAGAGCGCACCCGGGCCUCGUUGCUCCCAGGGAGCUGGGACCAGUGCUGUCCCCAGGCCAAGUAGACAUUCCAGAUACUUGGACAGAUGUCCUGAGAUGUUUAGGACCAAAGACACCUGAAUAAGACACAGUUACAAGUUACACAGUCAAAAAGCUCCUUGCCGAUGGGUUAUUCCCUCUUGGGAACCAUGUUGCCAGUGUUCAGCUCUGAGUUGUUACAGGGAAGCUGAAAUCUCCCCCUUGGUUUUUUUUCCACUGACUUCAGUGCUGUUGAUCAUUUGGGGCAUCUGAAUGGGAGGUGACUCAUCUCAACCUCAGGUAUCUUAUAAAUGAGCGGCAUGCCUGUUUUUAAGGUAAAACAGCAAUCUGAGCUCAGAGGUAGGGGCCACCCUGGAGCUACCAGGGGAGGAGGAGUGGGGGUCUCGCAUGCUCUGUUGAAGGGGGGUAGCUUUCCCAUUAGUGAGUUGAUUUGAAAUUAGUGUGGAGUGAAGGGGGAAGAUGGUGGCCAGCUGUGAGGAUGCAGCACUGGGGGGGGAGCUGAGGAGUUGACAGGACUCGGUCAGUGCCAGCUGUGCUGCUGCUGCUGCCGGCGGAGGGGCCCACUGCUUGGCAGGUGGGAGGAUUAUCCAGGCUUUUGCCCACUUUUCUUUGUUGCUCACUUUAGUGGGCAUUUUGCAAAGGAUCGUUCCUUCUCAGGGAGGGAGGAAAGUAAGUAAAAAUAAUAUCUCCAAGUAGAGGGGCAGAUUGUAGAGUUCAGGCACCCUUGUCCCCGGUUACUAUGGUAGCAGCUCAUGGGGUUUGUCUGCUCUGGGUCUCAAGACUUAUGUGACCCCAGCAGGCUUGUGGAACUAGCGCACGUGUUGUGGGUGUGAAUAAAACUUGCUAAAGAGAAGGGGAUUUUGCAGUAAAAGAGGUGGAGGGGGAAAUCCCUGAGAAAUUGCCUUUGUCUAGUUCUC
RNA transcript from Hippopotamus amphibius kiboko, 2834 nucleotides. It is a transcript of the gene named solute carrier family 29 member 3, with no coding region annotated. NCBI's taxonomy places the organism in Eukaryota, Metazoa, Chordata, Mammalia, Artiodactyla, Hippopotamidae. The transcript is spliced from 9 exons. The record is from RefSeq and is a predicted model, not a curated record.